CGAGCGGUAGUUCAGUUGGUUAGAAUACCGGCCUUGUCACGCCGGGGGUCGCGGGUUCGAGUCCCGUCCGCUCCG
RNAcentral lists this transfer RNA (75 nucleotides) under Vibrio parahaemolyticus VP232. RNAcentral's name for it is "tRNA-Thr". It matches the Rfam family "tRNA". From Rfam's summary of the family: Transfer RNA (tRNA) molecules are approximately 80 nucleotides in length. Their secondary structure includes four short double-helical elements and three loops (D, anti-codon, and T loops). Further hydrogen bonds mediate the characteristic L-shaped molecular structure. tRNAs have two regions of fundamental functional importance: the anti-codon, which is responsible for specific mRNA codon recognition, and the 3' end, to which the tRNAs corresponding amino acid is attached (by aminoacyl-tRNA synthetases). tRNAs cope with the degeneracy of the genetic code in two manners: having more than one tRNA (with a specific anti-codon) for a particular amino acid; and 'wobble' base-pairing, i.e. permitting non-standard base-pairing at the 3rd anti-codon position. Lineage: Bacteria; Pseudomonadati; Pseudomonadota; Gammaproteobacteria; Vibrionales; Vibrionaceae. The record is from RNAcentral.